Molecule: RNA transcript, 1539 nt
Organism: Sesamum indicum (sesame)
Lineage: Eukaryota; Viridiplantae; Streptophyta; Magnoliopsida; Lamiales; Pedaliaceae
Source: RefSeq, a predicted model, not a curated record
CAGAUUCCUUCUUCAACUCUCUCUCUCUCUCUCUCUCUCUCUUCAUUACGGCUGUUGCUGUAGCUGCUCUGCUGCUUCUCUGUGUUUUUUUCCGCUCUCUCUGAUGCCUAUAAAAAAACCUCUCCUCCAUUAAAGCACUAGUGCUUAUAUCUGUACAUACACUUACAUACAGAAUUCUCUCCCUCUCUCUCUCUCUCUCAGUCUCUUGAAGUUAUAUAUUGAGAAAUACAAGAAGUGAAGUAAAUGUAUGCAGAAACAGGGCUAAUGUUCCCCUACUUCCAGAGCUUCCCUCAAGAAGUUCAGCAGUUUGAUGACUUUUUCUGCUCCCACAAGCCCAAUGCUUCAUUGGGCUUACCGAGCAGCCUCAUUCAGACAUCCCCUAUAUCCGAAUACGACCUUGGGGGAGAAGGGGAUCUCUUCAAGGCGCCUGAACUAGUUAUAGGAGAACCCUUUACUGACCUCAACCCGAUGGCUGCCAUUUCUAUGAUUUCUUGUGGAGAAGAUGUCAUCUCACCCCAAUCUUUGACCGUGUCUGAUAUCGAAUCAUCUAUUGAGAGCGGACAAAUUCUCAGUGAGGUUUUCUAUGAGUGCAGGAAGGAUCUUUUGGCAAAGGACGGGAACGAAACACCACUUUCUGACGUCCUUAGUAUCAAUAUUCCUUCAGGAAAGAUUGAUGAGAACUUUAUUGUUGAGGAGAACUCGCUCGCUGAGGGUCCGUUCCAGAAAAGUGUUAGUUCGAGUUGUUUAAGGUCAAUGGACUCUUUGCAUGAGACUCAGCUGAGGCCGAAUUAUCUUGAUUUUCCCGUUCUGGACUUUGGAGCUGUUUAUGGAAUGAGACGAGCAUUCAGCGAAGGAGACAUAAAGGAUAGGGCAGAGUCAUUGAUUCUGAGUUUUUAUGACAGAGUCUUGGCAGCAUCAUGCAGUCCUCGAUAGGGCAACCUAAACCUAUGAGCAGCCGUGCUUCUGAAGACCGCAGGGAAAAGCUCUCCAGAUACUGGAGUAAGAAGUCCAAGAGAAAUUUUGGCAGAAAAAUUAAGUAUGCUUGCAGGAAGGCACUGGCCGACAGCCAGCCAAGAAUCCGAGGGCGGUUUGCCAGGACUGAGGAACUAGAAAGUUGCAAGAAGCAAUGAGUGUUUGUUUCUACAACUACAAGGAUGUUGAGCUGUGGUUCUUAGAGCUAAUCAUGAGGUCAGGGAAAGGCAAUCUCAUGGUAAUGUUAGUAACUGUGGUGUUAGUUGAAGCUUUGGUGGGAUCUAUUCUAGUUCGGACGGGUUCAGCAAAACCGAACUAAUUUCAUAGCAAGUGAACUACACUUAUCGUGUAAUUGGUGUGCAGCUGAAAUAGUCAAUAGCAUGAUAAGUGCAACAAUAUUUACAAUGUGAUUGGUAGAACCUCGUUUGGAUUAGUAUUUUUUUCCCAUCUUAAAGCUUGAUAGCUAGUUUGUUCGUAAAAUGUAAUAAUCUGCAUUGUAGAUCAAAUGCUCGUCUAGAUUUGUACAUAUUGUUUGUUUCAAUAAACCAAAAUAGAUUUGUGUAAGAA